This 98-nucleotide transfer RNA is filed under the name Kytococcus sedentarius. RNAcentral's name for it is "tRNA-???(cgaa)". The record is from RNAcentral. Lineage: Bacteria; Bacillati; Actinomycetota; Actinomycetes; Micrococcales; Kytococcaceae.
CCUUCAUCUGGCUGAUGCGGGUGAGCAGCCCCGAGACGAAGUUCGGGGACUCGUCGGUGGACAGGUGGGCGGCGAGGUUCACGGCCUCGCUGAUGGCC